GCUAGAGAAAAAAAACUCACAUAUAAAGUUGCCAAGUUCCAGCUGGAGUUCAUGUCUACAGAAUCGAAUCUUCAGAUUGCCAGAAAUUCUCACUCCUUCGGGUGUCUUUUCUCAUUUUCGCCGUUAAAAAUGGUAUUCGUUCAAUUCCCUUUCGUUAAGAAGACGCAAUGUGCCAUUUAUUUGCAAAAUUCGUGCACAAAAUGAAGAUUGAUCGGUUACUGCGCUUAAAAUCGCCGUUUUACUGCCAAAAUUUUGCAUUUCCCUAUCUUUUUCCUGAUAAAAAAUGUGCAUGACACUUGCCAGAGGGUCGCGCAUGCGCAUUAAAAAAGUGGGGACAUGAUUUGCCUCGAGUUCCGCCUCUGUAUAUCCUUACUCUGUGCCCCUGGUUUUUAUAAAAAUAUUUCGGCUUUUUGCAAUUUGCAGUGAAUCCUUGUUGUUUUGAUAUUUUCGACAUAUUUUUUCGCCUGUUGACAAUUUGUUCAAAGAUGUGGAAGCUGUACACGUUAAUUCUCGUCCGUGGAGCGUGAAAGACAACAAACAACUAUUAAAACCUUGCGAAAUGUGGGCAAAAACGAUACUUCAAGCCAGAACAAACAUCCGUAUUUAUCAGACUAUAAACAGGUAUUUAUAUAUUUUUCAAAAUUUACAUUACUAUUUUAAAUAUUUCAUGAAAAAAUGUUAGGAAUAAAUGGUAGAAUGUAAUCUAUUUUUUAGAAAAUAAGCCACGAGUAUUUAUAAUGUGAAAAUGCUGUGCUGAGUGGUUAUAUUACUACCUUAAAAAAUAAGCAGAAACUCGACGAAGGGCCUUCGCUCGAAACGUCGAGUUUCUGCUUAUUUUUUAAGGUAGUAAUAUAACCACUCAGCACAGCAUUUUCACAUUGGUACUACCAACACUGGUACAGACAGUUUUAGUAUUUAUAAUGUGGUUGUAGACGAAUCUUUUAAUUUUAAAAUAUAAUAAUUUCAUCCCUCAAUCCCAAGGAAUUAAUGGUUGUACAUGUAUAUGAAUUUGCUCGAAUUUGACAAAUAUUUGAGUUGACAUGAAACUAUCAUGUGCUAGUAUAUUAAAGAGGGAAGUAAGGUUUUAUAGAUUUAGGUAAGACCGGGUUUUUUCAUGCAUGAGCUCAGAACUGGUGCUGGAAAAAGCUCAGCUGAUCUGAAAAUGCAUAUGUUUUGCCCAAGUUUGCAUGUAUAUUGUGUGCUCUCUGAUAGUUUGUUGCAUGUAUCUUUAAAAGGCCAUGCAUUAACUUGUUUGCCCCAUCCCUAUAAAUAUUGGGUUAAUUGACUCAACUGCAUGCUGGCAUAUUUCUGGUGUUCCUGAGGUAGGGGCUAAUGUGACAGCUAGCCCUAGGCCAGUAAGCAAGGUCUCACUCACUGUGUGGUUAUUUUUAUAGUGGAAAUUCCUUUCAAAUUGUAUGGACAACCUGACUGGCUCAGUUUUCAGAUCUCACCUGAAGAAGGCAAGCUCUCAGUUACACCGGGAAGAUAUUUUAUGGAUAUAAACACUAACUGGACUGACCUGGUCAAAGUAAAGUCAAUACAACAUUGGUCAUGGAAAUAUUGUCAAAACAAUAGAAUUGUGUCGGCAAGGAAAUUAAUCUGGAAAUAAUAAAUAGUUCUGCCAACCAGGCCAGCCUGGCUUCCAUAUUGAUAGCCCCUAUGGCUAUAAUCUAUUCUUGCUUAUUGCAGAAUGCUCCCACAAUGAGUUCAUGCCACUGUUGUUAGUGAACCUCCAAGAAACAUGUAUUAAUUGUUUCAAAAUUAAUUAAAGACAAAAAUUUGCUUGAUUUUGUAUAUUAUUUAUUUUAAUCCAACUUGCAUGGUUAAAGAAUAAUUAUCCAAUUGGGACGUUCCAGAAAAGAUCCACACUCCCCCCACGGAGGAAAUUUCUGCCGUCCGGAGGGGAGGGGAGAAAAAAUUGUUUCUGAUAAUAGUAAAUGUACGUAAUUUCCUCUGUGGGGGUGGUAUGGAUGUUUUCUGGAAUAUGACCCAUUAGCAGUAAAUAAUAUUAAAACCUAACUGUACAAUCAAGUUACAUGUAAUACUUAACAGUAUUAUUAAAAAAUUAAAACUAGAGCUCAUGGGUUAUUCUUUGGCUGUUUGUAGUACAUACAUAUAAAUAACACAUUCCCACAAAAUUAUAGAGAAAAGUAAUUGUUAGUUCUGGCAUUCAGUUAAGUCUGGCAAGAGCUAGUGCACCACUUGACUCUUGCUAUUUGAACAUUCGAAAGAACUUGUAUUAAUUUCUUGUCCACAUGACUUACAUCAGAUUCAGUCCUAAAUGAGAAAUGUCCAUUAUACAUAUAAAAUAGUGACAGUACCAUAUGAAGACACUGAAGAUGUAUUGGGUCACAGAUCCCAGACUCCAAUUACAAGGAAAUUUACUGUAGAGCAGAGCCCAGACGGUUCAGUUAGACAUUGACAUGUUAACCCAUUGAGCACUGAGUGGCUCUCCAGUUCACAAGUAAAAUUGUCUGGUGUUAGACAGAGUAAAAUAAUAAAGUAGCUAGGGUGCAUUAGGGCACAAUGCAACCUAAUGGUUAAUUAAUA
Paramuricea clavata is the source of this 2550-nucleotide non-coding RNA. Lineage: Eukaryota; Metazoa; Cnidaria; Anthozoa; Malacalcyonacea; Plexauridae. The record is from the annotation of a GenBank genome assembly.